GCUACACAUGCAGUCGAGCGGAACGAUGGUAGCUUGCUACCAGGCGUCGAGCGGCGGACGGGUGAGUAAUACUUAGGAAUCUACCUAGUAGUGGGGGAUAGCACGGGGAAACUCGUAUUAAUACCGCAUACGACCUACGGGAGAAAGGGGGCAGUUUACUGCUCUCGCUAUUAGAUGAGCCUAAGUCGGAUUAGCUAGAUGGUGGGGUAAAGGCCUACCAUGGCGACGAUCUGUAGCUGGUCUGAGAGGAUGAUCAGCCACACCGGGACUGAGACACGGCCCGGACUCCUACGGGAGGCAGCAGUGGGGAAUAUUGGACAAUGGGGGAAACCCUGAUCCAGCCAUGCCGCGUGUGUGAAGAAGGCCUUUUGGUUGUAAAGCACUUUAAGCAGUGAAGAAGACUCUUCGGUUAAUACCCGGAGACGAUGACAUUAGCUGCAGAAUAAGCACCGGCUAACUCUGUGCCAGCAGCCGCGGUAAUACAGAGGGUGCAAGCGUUAAUCGGAAUUACU
This 512-nucleotide ribosomal RNA is filed under the name bacterium fme09x27p281. Its description in RNAcentral is "bacterial SSU rRNA". It matches the Rfam family "Bacterial small subunit ribosomal RNA", at positions 48 to 555 of the family's 1533-position model. The record is from RNAcentral.